GUGGGGAAUAUUGCACAAUGGGCGAAAGCCUGAUGCAGCAACGCCGCGUGAGGGACGACGGCCUUCGGGUUGUAAACCUCUUUUAGUAGGGAAGAAGCGAAAGUGACGGUACCUGCAGAAAAAGCACCGGCUAACUACGUGCCAGCAGCCGCGGUAAUACGUAGGGUGCAAGCGUUAUCCGGAAUUAUUGGGCGUAAAGAGCUCGUAGGCGGUCUGUCGCGUCUGCUGUGAAAACUGGAGGCUCAACCUCCAGCCUGCAGUGGGUACGGGCAGACUAGAGUGCGGUAGGGGAGAUUGGAAUUCCUGGUGUAGCGGUGGAAUGCGCAGAUAUCAGGAGGAACACCGAUGGCGAAGGCAGAUCUCUGGGCCGUAACUGACGCUGAGGAGCGAAAGCGUGGGGAGCGAACAAGAUUAGAUACCCGUGUAGUCC
Molecule: ribosomal RNA, 430 nt
Filed under: uncultured bacterium
Lineage: Bacteria
Description: partial 16S ribosomal RNA
Rfam family: Bacterial small subunit ribosomal RNA
Source: RNAcentral